CAUUCAUUCAUUUGUUUGUUUGUUUAUUACUAUUCAAAUGUAAUCCUUUGAAGGGAACUGAAUUCAGAAUUCCGAGUCCUGAAUUCCUAUCCCAGCGCCUUCACUCUCUUGCUGUAUAACCCUGGCAAAUCAUUUAACUCCUAUUUACUCAUCAUUUAUAGUCUGUUGUGUGCUUGGCACUGAGCUAAGCACGCAGGAUGUAAAAAUGAAAUAAGACCCAAAUCUUAUCUUCAAGAAGGCACAUUCACAAAUUAAUUGGGACAAGAGAGGAUAUUGGGAUAAGAGAGGUCCAGAGUCCCGAUUAAAAUUCCGCCUUCUCCAGGAAGCCUUCUCCUGUUAUCUAUUUCUCCUGUAGGUUGUUUGCUUUGUAUAUAUUUGUUUGCAUUUUGUUCUCCCUCUUUAGAUCAUAAGCUCCUUGAGACUAUCUUUUGCCUCUUUUGUAUCCCCUGCACAUAGUAGGCAUUUCAUUCAUUUUUAUCAAUUGGUGGCAAUGAGAAUCGAGGAAGGAGAGAUGGAUUUUUAGCUUUAGAGGUCUGAGAGAAUUUGUUAGGGGACAUAAAACAUGCCCAGACAUGAGCUAAAACACAGAGAUAGGAGAGCAGGGCAAGAAUUUUCAGAGGCAGCCCCGAAGACAAGUUAGGUUAGGCUUAAAGGGGAGACCUAUGUGAGAUAAGGUCCAGGUCAAAAGGACCUUAAAUGCUACGGAAAGAAAUCUCCAUUUUAUUUUUUGGUGGUAAUGGGGAUCCAUUGAAGGUUUCAGCGUAGAUCUGAUCCAGUUUCACUAGGAAAUUGGGAAAUCUAGUGCAUUAGGGAGAACUGGGAAAUCUUCCUAGUGCACUAAGAAGAUAAUGGAAAACAGAAUUUAAAAUGGAUUGGAGGGCACAGCUGCGUGACUCAGUGGAGAGAGAACCAUGCCUGGAGACAGGAGGUCUUGGAUUCAUAUAUGGCCUCAGAUAUUUCCUAGCUAUUUGGCUUUGGGUUCACAGCACAUAUUUUUGUUGUUGAAAAGAAUUUCCAGAACAAAAAACAUUGAAACCACUGGACCAGGCUGAGAUUUCUGUGAUUCACUGAUAAAUGAUUAGAAACAGCAGAGACAACUUUGCCAUCACCCCUAAGAAGCCCACCUUCUCAUCCUGAAAUUGAAAAGCUGGGGAGAACCAGAUUUGUGAUUUUAUUGAUAUAUGGAUCUCCUAGGUAAAGAAAUUCCCAUCACCCAGACUGGCUGGCUGCUUCUCUUUCAUUUAAGAGAUUUAGAAUGUUACUGAGAGCUCUAAGAGGUUAAAUAACUUGCCUGGGGUCACUGGCUCAGGCCCAGGACUUGGAGUGGGCUGGAGACAGCUCUAACUUUACACCUCAGGAAUCAGCAAAUGCUGCAAAUCCAGAUUUGAUUUAUUGUUUUAUUGGUUGUCUGGGUGCAAGAAAGUGAUGGGGAAAAUCUUAAUAAUGCAGAUUCUCCUUUGUAACCCCUCUCCCCCUUUUUGUUGUUCCUGUCAAGUCUGACUUUUUAUGAUCUCAUUUGGAGUUUUCCUGGCAAAAAAUCUUAGAAUGACUAGCUAUUUUCCUUUUCUAGCUCAUUUUACAGAUGAGGAAACUGAGGCCAAUGGAGUAAAAUGACUUGCCCAGGGUCACACAAUUCGAGUAAGUGUUUGAGGCCAAAUUUAAAUUCUGUCUUCUAACUCUAAGCCCAACACCCUCUAUCUACUUGUGUUACCUAGCUCCCUUCUGCCUCUACCCCCAGCUAAACUUCUACCAGCACAUUCUUGGCACAGCUAAUUAUUUUGUUUUAUUGAAAUAUAAUUUUAUUUUAAAAAUAUUGUCCAUGGUAAUAUAAUUCAUGUUGUCUCCCUCCUCUCUUCCCCCACCCCUCCCAGAGUCACUGAGUUAUAUAUGUAUUAUUACUCAGAACCUAUUUCCAUAUUACUCAUUUUUGUAAUAGAA
Molecule: long non-coding RNA, 1938 nt
Filed under: Monodelphis domestica (gray short-tailed opossum)
Lineage: Eukaryota; Metazoa; Chordata; Mammalia; Didelphimorphia; Didelphidae
Description: lncRNA (ENSMODG00000033900.2)
Source: RNAcentral